Bombus pyrosoma is the source of this 8104-nucleotide RNA transcript. It is a transcript of the gene named casein kinase I, with no coding region annotated. Lineage: Eukaryota; Metazoa; Arthropoda; Insecta; Hymenoptera; Apidae. The transcript has 12 exons. The record is from RefSeq and is a predicted model, not a curated record.
UGCAUCAUAAUAUAAUAAAUAAAAAUAAUUAGUAUAAAGUGAGCAAAUAUUUAAUGAAAAUUAAUGGAAUCCGUAAAAUUCGAAUUGGUUACUAUGGAUACGUAGGUAUUUAAUGGCAUAACAUUUUAUUUAUCAUGUCAAUGUUUCACGGACGGCUUAUAAAUUACUAUAUAAUAUAUAUUAUUUACACAAUUAAUAAUCAUUGAAAUCUUCAUAAGAUUAGAUUCGUUAGAGCCCUCUCGAAUUUAUUUGAAAAUUCAAAUAAACGCCAUAUUAGUGUCACUGAAUUUGAAUAUAGAUAAAUAAUUAGUCGUCUAAACUGGUCUGGUAACAAAAUUGAACAUCGACCAAAUAUUAAUUUUUAACUUGUUUUAUCAAAAUCAUAUAGAAAAAUACACAUAACAUAGAAAAAUUAGUCAUAAUCGCGAAAGAGUUGCAAGAUGUAAAGAAAAAGCUAAAAAAUUAUUGACGUAUAAGAAUGGAGAUAGUUUGGAAAAGAGGGCGACGGCGUCGAUAGAUUGUUGGGAAUGCGGCGUUAUUUCGUUUCAAGUUGGCAGCACCGUCAGCCUCGUAACAAAUCUCACCUAUGUCGAGUCGAGCGCGAGAGACAGGAGCGUAAGCUUGUCCGCGAUCGUUUGUCCGCGUUCGACAGGUCUUUCAAAUAGCGUGCGUGUAAUCGGUGGACGGUAGAGCGUAGGGAUAUAAAUUGUAUUCGUAUAACCAGUUCCGAAAUAAAAGUUUGUUGGAAAGCCUGGGGAGCGAAAGGACUGCGGAGGGGACUGCAGUUAAUACGGGGCUUGUGUGUGGGCAUAUAAUAGCCGAUCGGGCAUACUGGUGACACGGCUGCGGAUUUUUCCUUCGACAAGAAGGAAGGAACAUACGAAGCUCGCAAAGUGCAUGUGCUAGUGUGCGUGUCACUAUAAAAGAGUUCAGAGCCGCUUCGGCGGCGCUCCCAAAUCUAACUGCAGAAUUGAGUCUGUAGUGGUGAGGCCGCGGUACUAUCGGGCCACGAUUGAGUACGAUCACGAUCGCACGCGGCAGGGCCGUUUGUAAUGGAGGAGGUUUCCGAGUGUAUUCCCGUGCGACAGAACAGUCACGGCGAUGCACGCCGUAUUGACUGAGACGCGAUAUUUAUCGUUGACUAUUCCCCCCGGCCGGCCGGGCAAGAGAGGCAGGUCGAAAUUGGUAUGGAAUCGUCCAGGGUCCUCGACACGACGAACACUCACUCCCGUCUGUGAUAACCACUAGCCGCUUAGAAAGAGAUAGAAGAAGAGAGAAAAAGGAAAGAAAGAGAGAUAGAAAGCUGUUGUGUAUUUUGCGCGUGUGUGUUCUCCUCGUCUGCCCUCUUCAUUACGUCUUUAAGUGUAAACAUUUCUCGAAAUCCGUUUCGAGGUUAGGAUAGCAUGGGGAUUGAUCCCCUGAAGGCAUCGACCGACGAACCGUGACACCUGCGACUCGCGUCGUGUACGCGGUGUGUGCUUUUGUGUGUGCGUGCGUGUGUGUAUUCCUCCUUAGGAAACCGCUGGGAGUUAUUAUUUUCCAUCGGCGGCCAUCCAACGGGACGACCAAAGAAGAAAAUAUGUCAAGAAUGGGGAUCGAUCCCCGACGAUUAAGCGCCGUGCAUCGUUUACAUCAUUAAUUCGACUAAUACAAGACUAACAUCGGCAACGUUUUUUUUUUUACCGUACAAUCGACCUUUUCUGUCACGUUUAAACAGACUGUCGCGGAUUACUCUGCCACGACAGAGGACACUCGCACCAUGCAGAAAAGAGACGGUAGAGACACACAGCUACAGCUCGCGCGUAGCUCUGAACGCGAACAGGAAACGACCAAGAGGAUCUCUCGUGGUAGCGGUAAUGCUACCAGAUUCAACGCGUAUUCCUCAAGGUAUAGUGUCACCUCCUCCUCUAAUGUACUCAUGGUCGGUCCCAACUUCCGUGUCGGCAAGAAAAUUGGAUCUGGCAACUUUGGAGAACUUCGACUCGGGAAGAACCUCUACAAUAACGAGCAUGUAGCGAUUAAAUUGGAACCAAUGAGGUCAAAGGCGCCGCAGCUACAUUUAGAAUAUAGGUUUUACAAAUUAUUAGGCACACAUGAGGGUAUACCAGAAGUAUACUACUUCGGCCCUUGUGGGAAGUACAACGCUCUGGUGAUGGAACUUCUCGGACCGAGUCUAGAGGAUCUAUUCGACCUCUGCGGUAGGAGGUUUACCCUAAAGACCGUUCUCAAAAUCGCCACACAGAUCCUUCAUAGGAUAGAGUACGUUCAUAGUCGGCAUUUGAUCUACCGUGAUAUCAAGCCGGAAAACUUCCUGAUAGGACGAUGCACAACCAAACGGGAAAAGAUUAUCCACAUCAUCGAUUUCGGACUGGCCAAAGAGUACAUAGACCUGGAGACGAACAAACACAUACCGUACCGGGAACACAAGAGUCUGACGGGUACAGCGCGUUAUAUGAGCAUCAACACGCAUCUUGGAAAAGAGCAGAGUAGAAGAGACGACCUAGAAGCGUUAGGAAACAUGCUGAUGUACUUCCUGCGCGGUAGCCUUCCUUGGCAAGGGCUGAAAGCGGACACGUUGAAAGAACGAUAUCAAAAGAUCGGCGAUACGAAGCGGAACACGCCGAUCGAGGUUCUCUGCGAUGGACAUCCCGAGGAAAUGGCUACGUACUUGCGGUAUGUGCGUAGAUUGGAUUUCUUCGAGACGCCCGACUACGAGUACCUGAGGAACCUUUUCCACGACCUGUACGAGAAACGAGGUUUUGUCGACGACGGAGAAUUCGACUGGACUGGCAAGACGAUGCCACACAACUUCGAUCAACUUAGAGCUCUGAGGACGGCUCCUCCCUCUCACAUUGGAAAGACUAAAUCUGAUAAGUCUACACCUGUUGGAUCCCUGCAGACUGGACAAGAGAUUAUUGUAUCCCCGAAUCGUGAUCGGCACCCGUACAAGGAUGUGACAGAGCCAGGGGUGGGAGGCGGGGGCGGUAAAUGGGUGGGAACCUCCAGGACAGAUACUGCGAAGCAAUCAGGAGCUGGUGGUACAUUGACACCCGCUGAUAGGCACGGUUCUGUACAGGUGGUGUCCUCGACGAAUGGAGAACUAGCCAAUGAUGAUCCUACUGCAGGACAUUCUAAUACGCCGAUCACAGCACCUCAAGAAGUGGACAUGGUCGACGAAACCAAUGUUUGGUUUAUUUGCAGAUGCUGUUGUUUCUUCAAGCGGAAGAAGAAGAAAAGUGGAAGACAAAAGUGACUGUCUGUUAUCGUCAGUCUUGGGGGGGACAAUACAGUGCGCGUGUAACAGAAGUGCAGAUGAAGUUUUUUUGGGAAACGUGUUGCGGCAGUGCGCGAAGAAACCCGUGGACAAGAAAAAGCUGCAGUUGAUCCGGAAUGGGGGAGGCCGUUACCUUGCUACAUGCCGGAAGUCGACCCGCUUCUCAAGAUUCGGUGCUGCACACCAUCGUCACGAUGUCAUGCCGCCGUCGUUAUCAAAUUAAAACCACCACACAGCCAUCAUUAUUACUGCUAUUAUUAUUGCUAUUAUUAUCGUUAUUAUUACCACGAUUAACUUUGCUCUUCUUCUUUUCGUUCUUACAAUUAUUAUUACGAUUAUUAUUAAUAUUAUAUUAUUAUUAUAUUAUUUUAUUAUUUUAUUAUUAUUAUCGUUUAGCUGAUUAUUAUUGUCACUUCGUCUACGAUCAUCAUUUAAAACGAAUCAAACAUCGUUUAUCAAUGUCGAUGUUACCGAAUACACUGUAAACUUGUCACUGCUGACUGAGGAUAAUUUUAACCGUCGAUCCCAACCGUUUAGUACUGGUAAAUCGCUCCACCUACGUUACUAUACGCGUAUAACAGUAAGGAAUUGACGUGCCGAUGGUGAAAGAACGCGUUUUGUGCCUACGACUCUUUCAUCUUGUACCGCGGUGGCGCACUUUUCAACACGCCGUCAUUGCAAAAAUGUGUUACGAUACGUGUAUUAAAUCGUAAAAAAGAAAAGAAAUUGAAGCUGAGAUCUCAUUUUACUCAAAGUCCCGGAUAACGAGCGUAGCGUACUCCUGCUUGUAUCGAACUUUAUAAACAAAUUACUUGUGAAGUCUGAUCGACUGGAAAGGCAUGAAACUGAAAGGGUAAACGCGUUCGCGUAUGCUUAACUUCGAUCAGUUACAAGCACGUACAGUAGGAUAACGUUUUUCAAGUUUGUGAUCGUUUCAGUUAACUUCUUCUUAUUUUCCUUUCAACGAUCACGAGAAGCAGACGAUCGAGUAGGAUUGAAAUUCACGUAUCAUUUUCGCGCGUAUCUUUCAAUUUCAUCGUUUCACAUUCGAAUCUUCCAAAUGUUUUGUCUUUUCGCUGUCGCUGAGAGUUUGACAAGUAGUUUCUUGUUUAAUGGAAGAUUAUAUCCUUUUAAGUUCAUCUUGUACAGUACACGAGGUAUAACAGUAUUAACGCUAUCUGUAGGUAGCAGCGGAUACGUGCUAAAUUGCACUCACCGUAUUUUAGUUAAUAAUUUUUAACUAAUUUUAUUUUACGCCUACACUGCCUGUCGUUAUUCUAUAUAAGUACACGAUUAUACGUGAAAACAUUACACUGACUGUACAUAAAAGAUAUCGAGAACUAUUUUGCUACGAAGCUCCAUAUGCUUUAUAUCGAUUGUUUUAGUUAAUCGCAUAUCAUUUACCGAGCUUCGUAUAACAAAACGACUGUUCAAAUUAUCAAUAUAUAUCCUGGAGCGACAUAAAAGCGAUCGUAAUUCUAAGCAGUUCGAUUUCGGUUUCAUGCCUUCCGUGAAUUUAUCACGUAAAAGCUAUACGUCGCAGAAAUCAUUCAAAUUACAUUUUACAUAACAUAUCGAAACACAAAGAAAAGAGAAAUUACAAAUUUUCCUCUGUAGAUUCUAAUAUCUACCGUGAAAAUUGAAUAGGACGUAGAUCAACAAAUUAUACACAUGUAUUCGACACAGUUGAUCCGUGUUCUACCCAAAACACGAAGAUUCGGGAAACUUUCUUGAAUCGUAUCUUAGCGUCUAUAAAAGGACUCGUUCAUUUCCGAGUAAUUUUUUUAUUCUUGAAACACACGUGUUUAAACAAAGAUAAUUAUUAGAAAUGUAACAAAAAAAAAGAGAACCAAAGUAUGCUUGUAAUUGAAUAUACAUCAAUAUAGGUUUGAUUUUAAAGCAAUAAAAACACAAACUUUUACCGUCUCUGUUUAACUCUACAAAAGAAAAUAAAACAGAAUUUCCUUGGAACGAAUCGUUGUCUGCUAGAUCGACGCGAACACAACUGGAUUUAAAACCAAAAGAAAAUAAAGAGAGAGAGAGAGGGAGGGAGAGAGAGAGAGAGGCGGGGGAGAGAGAAAAAAGGAAUAUAAAAUUGUACGUGACAUAGUUAUACAGUACUGUGCACUUACUUUGUGGAAAACUUUCUCGAGAGCUUAUUUAAUAUGUUUGUGCCACGAAGUUACGAGAAGAAGAGCGUUAUGAUGUGAUAUAUCCAAAUCCCCGUGGAUGUUCUGAAAAUGCACCCAAGCAGUGAAGAGAUAUACUUAACGUGAAAAUAUGCGCGCGAUGGCGAAGGGGAAAAGGAUCUUGUCAGCCCUGCCGAUUAAACGAGCAAGAAUAUUUUAAGAGGCGAUGUAAUCGACAGACUGUCACUUGUCUGCGCGUGAAGACGGCGAGUACUAACUUUACCGUGUCCGAAGGUCCGAACUUCUACUAGUCUGGCCAACGAUUGCGUACCACUGCCGAGCCAUACCGAUGUACCGUGUUAGCGUACCGUGAGUGCCCGUACACGUUGUAUCCAUUAAUUAUUGGCCAAGCACAUCCGACGACGAAACGUUCGAUGUACUUAGAACGAAAGCGAGAGCGCGGUGCACUAGAGAGAGAGAGAGAGAGAGAGAGAGAGAGAUUGCAAACUAAAGGAAAGGAGAGAGUGUAUCACGAUUUAUGUAAAAACGAAAAAACAAAACAAAAAAAAGAGAAACUAACAAAGAAACGUUAUGUCGCUAGCUUCUUCACACCUGUAUGUAUUACGCUGUUAUUGGCCGUCGGAUGUCUUGAAGUAAUACGCUUAAAUGGAGAUGAGAACUAAACCUAUUAACUUUGUGGAUUUCCUCUCUCGUUAUUAUCUGUAUCUUCCCACUGGGUAUGUACCGAGAGUAUUGUUCCUUUUAUAAGCUUGCCAGCGCAAGUAAAUGUCGAACAAUCGGACGUUAGAUUUGUAUACAGCGAAAGAGUGCGAAUGCAAAUGCUAUGACAUUAGGAAGGAGAGAAUGAGCGCGGUAAUGUUAAGACCUAGCGAAAACAUAGAAAAGAGGUAUCGAUUGGCGGAGUGAAAGAGAACAAAUUCAGAGUACCAGAGUGAUGGAAGGACAAAGAGAAGAGGAAGGAGAUCCCGUUGUCCUCCAGUGUGUAUGCUUUCAUGUGGAAAGAGAACGAAUCUUCGUGUUACUCGAAUGCUUAAGAAGCUAAUGCCUCUUACGUUUUCUUACUUUUUCGUUACUAGUAUCGUUUCUAAGCAUGAUCUCUCGAUGGAACAUAUACGACACAAACAUACACAUACAAACAUAUGCACAGACACCAAAUUUCGCGAUUAGGGUAUAUAUUAGUAAUGAAUUCCAAAAUUAAGGAACGGAGCUAUCUCCGUAAGAGGAGGGAGGAAGCGAGCACGCGCAAGAGAAUGAAAGUGAGAACGUGUGAAAGAAAGAAAGAAAGAAAGAAAAAUGCGCGAGUGAAUCUUGUGGAAACGAGAGAGUCUCCGUAUUUAUAUCGCUAUCCAGCCACAUAUCGUUGGCGUGAUUAUGCUGCAACUAUGUUGCAAUUUAGCUUGUAGUCUUUUUUUAGUCGAUUUUUCAUGUGUCACCAGUUUUUAAAUACAACACGACUGACUGCUGGUUAAGUAUGGUUGUGAGCGAUUAAGAAAAUGUUUCCUUAUCUUAUCCGGGAUAUAUGUCCCCUUUUCUUAACGAUAUUUUUGUUUUCUUAUUCAUUCUUGUACUUCGUAUAGAAAAGGUUGUUAUGCUCGUCCCAAUGACGAAUUCGAUCGUCCAUUACUAAUGAUAGAACAAUGAUUGAGUUUGAAAACGAUUAUUUGUAUAUUUGUAAAAUGGUGCGAAUAGAUCGGACCGAGAUCAAUGUAUGUAUGUGUCUUUCAUUUCCUCGCUUUUAAUGAGUUGCUACAACUCGCGACUUAUCGUUCGUUUUUCAAUUAUGAGAAUGAUAGGCGGUCAUGUUCCAGCAAGACUCAAGCUGAUCGUAAAUCAAUCCGCACAGGAUACGUGAUUUCCGUUGCGUUUCUUUUUUCAAUCGUUUGUUUUGUAAUUACUACAAAGCGAAAUUUAUUAUUUUUAAUCAUGUAUUGAAAAAUUUACUCGAUAUUUUCUUUUCUUGUAUCAAUUAUAUAAGAAUUGUAGCUUAAUUAUUUCUUUAACCCUGACAAUUUUUUGUGUGCAUUCUGUGCAUGGGACUGGUAUCUUCUUUAAUUGUUCCGUUACAUGUAUUUCCAAUUCGUUUUCAUUGUAAGGCAAGGGCUAAAGUUUGUAAAGUUGUAUUAUUAAAUUUUGAUCUGUCUUUAAAACAUUUGUUUUGGAAUGUUAGUAACAUUUAUUUAAAACGAAAAAAACUCAUUCGAUUAUAGCUAAUAUGUUAAUCAAUGUGUCGCGUUUUUGUAGUGAAUUUUUCACGUGAUACAUUUUGCUCUGCGAACAUGAUCUAGAUAAUGUACGGUUAGUGUGCGUUUUAAUUACUAUUAUAAAAGUUUGUGUAGCAUGUAUUCGUUGUUAAAGCAUUCUGCAGCUUGCGUUUGAUGAUUAUUUGCCAUUUAUAUGGAAUUGGCAGCUCAUGUGCAUUAUGAUAGUAUGCCCAUGUAAUGAGUGUGAUUGAUGACGUUAUAGAAAUUUUGAGAAGUUUAUCGAUAUAGUGAGGAGACGUUAUGCUAUGGAAAGAAAAAAUAAAAAUCAGGCGACGAUUAAUUUUUGUAAAUAGGAAUUAUUGGAAUGGAUAUAGAAGUACGCACACGGAAACACGAAAGGUUAAAAUAUGUGAAAUGUCGGAUAUCCGGACAUGUAUCAGCUUCAGAUUAUAUAUACAUAUACAUAUAUGCAUAAACAA